Molecule: ribosomal RNA, 1017 nt
Filed under: uncultured fungus
Lineage: Eukaryota; Fungi
Description: eukaryotic LSU rRNA
Rfam family: Eukaryotic large subunit ribosomal RNA (bases 329-1017)
Source: RNAcentral
AUCGAUGAAGAACGCAGCGAAAUGCGAUACGUAAUGUGAAUUGCAGAAUUCCGUGAAUCAUUGAAUCUUUGAACGCACCUUGCGCCCCUUGGUAUUCCGAGAGGCAUGCCUGUUUGAGUGUUAUUGAACCCCUCUCAACCCUUGGCCCUUGAGCGGUCGAGGUUUGGAUUUGGAGAGUGCCGGCCAAGUUUGGCUCCUCUAAAAUGCAUUAGCGAGCGACGCUUUCAUGCGACUGCUUUGGCAUUGAUAGACCUGUCUAUGCCUAGGUGCCGCUGGCGGGUUUGCUUACGAGUGGUCUCCUUUGGGGGACAAAUGCAACCUUUAACAAUCACCUCAAAUCAGGUAGGACUACCCGCUGAACUUAAGCAUAUCAAUAAGCGGAGGAAAAGAAACUAACAAGGAUUCCCCUAGUAACUGCGAGUGAAGCGGGAAAAGCUCAAAUUUAAAAUCUGGCGUUCCUUUCGGGCGUCCGAGUUGUAAUCUAGAGAAGUGUUUUCCGUGCCGGACCCGUGUACAAGUCUCUUGGAAUGGAGCGUCGUAGAGGGUGACAAUCCCGUCUUUGACACGGACUGCCGGUGCUUUUGUGAUGCGCUCUCGAAGAGUCGAGUUGUUUGGGAAUGCAGCUCAAAAUGGGUGGUAAAUUCCAUCUAAAGCUAAAUACAGGCGAGAGACCGAUAGCGAACAAGUACCGUGAGGGAAAGAUGAAAAGAACUUUGAAAAGAGAGUUAAACAGUACGUGAAAUUGUUGAAAGGGAAACGAUUCAAGUCAGCCGCGUCGUCCAGUAAUCAACCCUUUGCGGAGGGCUCACUUUCUGGUUUGACGGGUCAGCAUCAAUUUUGGCCAUCAGACAAAGGUGCGAGGAAUGUGGCAUCUUCGGAUGUGUUAUAGCCUCUUGCUGCAUGUGAUGGCCGGGAUUGAGGAACUCGACACGCCGCAAGGUCGGGGCCUUUUUUGGCCCACGUAACGUGUCUCGGAUGCUGGCGUAAUGGCUUGAACCGACCCGUCUUGAAACACGG